AGAAGGCAAAAUCAGGACGGUGUACUUCUACGAAGGCCAAGUUUGAGGAGUGAUAGUGUUGCACCGCAGCCCUCUCCAUUGACAGUUUUAUGGCAAGCUGGGAUGGGAAGUACCCGAAGAUCUUCUUGCCUACCAAGAUGAGCUGAUGGAUGUCGGUGAUCUGAUGAAUGAAACACCCCAAGCCCAAGAGGAUGGUGGUACUCCAAUGACAGAUUCUUCACAUGAUGAAAGGCAUGUUGAUGCUGGUACUCAAAUGGAUGAUCAUGGUUCUGCUCCAACACAUGAAAAUCAUUUAGGAAUGCCAUAGUUCUAGUUAGUGCUUGUAUUGGUAACUAUAUGCGGACCCUUUUAUUUGUCAAUCGCUACUAUUGAUGGAAUUUUAGGACUCUAGUAUGUCUUUUGGUCUGGCUAAUAACUAGUGUUAAGUUGAGCUUUUGGUAAUUACGCAAAUCUGGUGAACAUGGAGGUUUGUGUAAUGGAUAUAUAUUGUGAGCUAUGAAUGGGAUGUCAUCUUAAACUGGGCCACAUGACCUUUGUUUGUGCAUGAAUAUUAAUAGCUGUAC
This is a long non-coding RNA of Triticum aestivum (bread wheat), 563 nucleotides long. RefSeq lists it as uncharacterized. The transcript is spliced from 3 exons. NCBI's taxonomy places the organism in Eukaryota, Viridiplantae, Streptophyta, Magnoliopsida, Poales, Poaceae. The record is from RefSeq and is a predicted model, not a curated record.